GUGGGGAAUAUUGGACAAUGGGCGAAAGCUUGAUCCAGCCAUGCCGCGUGUGUGAAGAAGGUCUUCGGAUUGUAAAGCACUUUAAGUUGGGAGGAAGGGCAGUAAGUUAAUACCUUGCUGUUUUGACGUUACCGACAGAAUAAGCACCGGCUAACUUCGUGCCAGCAGCCGCGGUAAUACGAAGGGUGCAAGCGUUAAUCGGAAUUACUGGGCGUAAAGCGCGCGUAGGUGGUUUUGUAAGUUGGAGGUGAAAUCCCCGGGCUCAACCUGGGAACUGCCUCCAAAACUGCAUGACUAGAGUACGGUAGAGGGUAGUGGAAUUUCCUGUGUAGCGGUGAAAUGCGUAGAUAUAGGAAGGAACACCAGUGGCGAAGGCGACUACCUGGACUGAUACUGACACUGAGGUGCGAAAGCGUGGGGAGCAAACAGGAUUAGAAACCCGAGUAGUCC
RNAcentral lists this ribosomal RNA (450 nucleotides) under uncultured bacterium. RNAcentral describes it as "partial 16S ribosomal RNA". It matches the Rfam family "Bacterial small subunit ribosomal RNA", at positions 354 to 796 of the family's 1533-position model. The record is from RNAcentral.